Molecule: ribosomal RNA, 438 nt
Filed under: uncultured bacterium
Lineage: Bacteria
Description: bacterial SSU rRNA
Rfam family: Bacterial small subunit ribosomal RNA
Source: RNAcentral
AUUGAACGCUGGCGGCAUGCGUAACACAUGCAAGUCGAACGGUGUUUGGUGCUUGCACCAGACAUAGUGGCGGACGGGUGAGUAAUGCGUAGGAAUCUGUCUUAGAGAGGGGGACAACCCGAGGAAACUUGGGCUAAAAACCGCAUAUUCUCGAGAGAGGAAAGCAGGGGACCGGAAACGGCCUUGUGCUCUAAGGUGAGCCUACGUCGGAUUAGCUAGUUGGUAGGGUAAAAGCCUACCAAGGCGAUGAUCUGUAGCUGGUCUGAGAGGACGGACAGCCACACUGGGACUGAGACACGGUCCAGACUCCUACGGGAGGCAGCAGUGGGGAAUAUUGGACAAUGGGGGAACCCGUCGAUCCAGCGAUGCCGCGUGUGUGAAGAAGGACCUGCGGGUUGUUAAAGACACUUUCUAGUGGAAGGAAGAAGACGUCGUUGU